Molecule: ribosomal RNA, 441 nt
Filed under: Triticum aestivum (bread wheat)
Lineage: Eukaryota; Viridiplantae; Streptophyta; Magnoliopsida; Poales; Poaceae
Description: partial small subunit ribosomal RNA
Source: RNAcentral
AUGUUUCCUGUUGUGGUACUAUUCGUAAGUUGGAACUUGAGUUGGGUUAGACUGGACUGUCACUGGGCCGGGCUGUUCCUUGGUGAAGAAUUUGGUCUGGUUUCGAACAUGGGCCGUCAUCUGCUUCCUUUUUUUUCAAAUGAUAGAGCGAGACCGAUGAGGCAAAUCAUUACAAACCUUUUACUGCUUGGAGCAAUAGUACUUGCAGGGUGCCUUCGGUUACCUGCAUCGUUUUUUGGCACUUUGCAUACUUGUCGCAGUUGGGUCUGGUUGAGCAUGUGCAGCCAAAAAACCCAUCAUAUGCAUGUUUAUGGUUGCCUGCAUCCCCUCUCCUUGCAUCCUAGCAACGGUUCUAUGCAUUGUGUUUGGUUGCUCGCAUUGGCCGUGCUCAUACUAGUGCAUGUUGUUUGGCUGCAUACACUGGACAUGAUUAAGACUUAA